GAUGAACGCUAGCGGCAGGCCUAACACAUGCAAGUCGAGGGAGGAGCUUUCGGGCUUCGACCGGCGUACGGGUGCGUAACGCGUAUACAAUCUGCCUUUCACAUAGGGAUAGCCCGAAGAAAUUUGGAUUAAUACCUAAUGGUAUAUAGGAGUGGCAUCACAUUUAUAUUAAAGCUGAGGCGGUGAAAGAUGAGUAUGCGUUCUAUUAGCUAGUUGGAGAGGUAACGGCUCCCCAAGGCGACGAUAGAUAGGGGUUCUGAGAGGGAUAUCCCCCACACUGGUACUGAGAUACGGACCAGACUCCUACGGGAGGCAGCAGUGAGGAAUAUUGGACAAUGGUCGGAAGACUGAUCCAGCCAUGCCGCGUGCAGGAAGACGGCCUUAUGGGUUGUAAACUGCUUUUGCAGGGGAAGAAUAAGGACUACGUGUAGUUCGAUGACGGUACUCUGCGAAUAAGCAUCGGCUAACUCCGUGCCAGCAGCCGCGGUAAUACGGAGGAUGCGAGCGUUAUCCGGAAUCAUUGGGUUUAAAGGGUCCGUAGGCGGGCUAAUAAGUCAGAGGUGAAAGCGCUCAGCUCAACUGAGCAACUGCCUUUGAAACUGUUAGUCUUGAAUGGUUGUGAAGUAGUUGGAAUGUGUAGUGUAGCGGUGAAAUGCUUAGAUAUUACACAGAACACCGAUAGCGAAGGCAUAUUACUAACAAUUAAUUGACGCUGAUGGACGAAAGCGUGGGGAGCGAACAGG
Molecule: ribosomal RNA, 743 nt
Filed under: uncultured Capnocytophaga sp.
Lineage: Bacteria; Pseudomonadati; Bacteroidota; Flavobacteriia; Flavobacteriales; Flavobacteriaceae
Description: bacterial SSU rRNA
Rfam family: Bacterial small subunit ribosomal RNA
Source: RNAcentral